This is a long non-coding RNA of Anguilla anguilla (European eel), 1115 nucleotides long. RefSeq lists it as uncharacterized. The record is from RefSeq and is a predicted model, not a curated record. The transcript has 3 exons. NCBI's taxonomy places the organism in Eukaryota, Metazoa, Chordata, Actinopteri, Anguilliformes, Anguillidae.
CAUUUCGGGAUAGUGGCAUACAGGCAAUGAGGCGACAGCAGAGGGCAAAAUCAUUGGUGUUUGUAACAACAAACCUUGCACGUUGUCCGUGGUUGAAGCGAAAUGAACCCAGAAGACUGUGACUGCACCUAGUGCUCCCAGAGACGGCAGUUCAUCUAUGAACGGGUCAUGGCGUGGCGUGCCCUCCUGUGCUGAAAUACGUCAAAUUAAGACAUCCAGUAAACCAGGCGGGCCUCAGACCUGCAGACUGAGAGCAGGGGCGGGAGGAAAGUGUCAUGACUGGCCUGUCAUUUCCUGAGUGCGGUUAUACCAGGACGGCGGGCCCGGGGAGUAAGCGGCUCGGCGUGGCGGACGCCCGCCGGGGCCGAUGGCGGGUUUCGGCAUUAACCGCGCCGGGGCCAGCGGGGGUGACGGGCCCCGACCGACCGGCCUCUUCAUUCAUCCGGCCAAUAAAAAGCAGGCGCCCGCCUUUUCCCUGCUAAUUGCCGCAUAACUCCGUCUCGCGGGGACGUCGGGGGAGGUGGCGGGAGGUCGGCCGCCUUUUGAAGGGCUUUUGUUGAGCCGGGCCUUCUGCAGUAUCCCCGAGGAGCCCCAAGCUGAGAAAUGGCCCUCGUACCCAGGAAACGGGACAGGAAGUUGUGCUCUCCUAGUAAAACUGGCCCUCUCAUUUUGGCUCCAAGUACGACCCUCAUUUUACUCAUUAUUUUCGGAGCCUCUCCCUUGGGCUUCAUCGCAUCCGCAAUAGCUAAAGCUCAUGGGGAUAGAGAAGGGCUGUGCGUUGUCAUAGGCAAAACUGAUGAACUUAAUGUCUUCUUAAUCCAAUCGUUGCAGAGGAUUUAUAUUGUCUAACAUUAAAUUUUCACAUUUAAACUGCCUAGAGUAUAAUUUUUUGGAGCCUCUUCAGAGAAUAACUUGAGUGAUGGUUUAAUCAUUUCUGUGGGGCUUUCCGCUAAGAUUUUAUUUAAGUUUUUUAAGUGCGUUUUACUGCAAAACAUAGGGUAAGUACGUCUUAACUGCCUGCCAAUGAACACUCACAAAGCUGUUUCACAUUUCAAACAACUUUUGGUUGUUGAUGAAAAGUUUUUUUUGGAGCUGUUAUAAAAGAUGAAAUUUAA